UACGUAGGUGGCAAGCGUUGUCCGGAAUUAUUGGGCGUAAAGCGCGCGCAGGCGGUCUUUUAAGUCUGAUGUGAAAGCCCACGGCUUAACCGUGGAGGGUCAUUGGAAACUGGAGGACUUGAGUACAGAAGAGGAGAGUGGAAUUCCACGUGUAGCGGUGAAAUGCGUAGAGAUGUGGAGGAACACCAGUGGCGAAGGCGACUCUCUGGUCUGUAACUGACGCUGAGGAGCGAAAGCGUGGGUAGCGAACAGG
This 253-nucleotide ribosomal RNA is filed under the name uncultured bacterium. RNAcentral describes it as "partial 16S ribosomal RNA". It matches the Rfam family "Bacterial small subunit ribosomal RNA", at positions 524 to 776 of the family's 1533-position model. The record is from RNAcentral.